RNAcentral lists this ribosomal RNA (380 nucleotides) under uncultured eukaryote. RNAcentral's name for it is "partial 18S ribosomal RNA". It matches the Rfam family "Eukaryotic small subunit ribosomal RNA", at positions 592 to 976 of the family's 1831-position model. The record is from RNAcentral.
CAAUAGCGUAUAUUAAAGUUGUUGCGGUUAAAAAGCUCGUAGUUGGAUUUCUGCCGAGGACGACCGGUCCGCCCUCUGGGUGAGCAUCUGGAUCGGCCUGGGCAUCUUCUUGGAGAACGUAUCUGCACUUGACUGUGUGGUGCGGUAUCCAGGACUUUUACUUUGAGGAAAUUAGAGUGUUUCAAGCAGGCAUACGCCUUGAAUACAUUAGCAUGGAAUAAUAAGAUAGGACCUCGGUUCUAUUUUGUUGGUUUCUAGAGCUGAGGUAAUGAUUAAUAGGGAUAGUUGGGGGCAUUCGUAUUUAACUGUCAGAGGUGAAAUUCUUGGAUUUAUGAAAGACGAACUUCUGCGAAAGCAUUUGCCAAGGAUGUUUNCAUUAA